This 457-nucleotide ribosomal RNA is filed under the name Theileria sp. bougasvlei. RNAcentral's name for it is "SSU rRNA". It matches the Rfam family "Eukaryotic small subunit ribosomal RNA", at positions 486 to 984 of the family's 1831-position model. Lineage: Eukaryota; Apicomplexa; Aconoidasida; Piroplasmida; Theileriidae. The record is from RNAcentral.
CGGGGCUUAAAGUCUUGUAAUUGGAAUGAUGGGAAUUUAAACCUUUUCCAGAGUAUCAAUUGGAGGGCAAGUCUGGUGCCAGCAGCCGCGGUAAUUCCAGCUCCAAUAGCGUAUAUUAAAAUUGUUGCAGUUAAAAAGCUCGUAGUUGAAUUUCUGCUGCAUCGCUGCGUCCCCUCGGGGUCUCUGCAUGUGGCUUAUUUCAGACGAAGUUUCUUUGUCUGGAUGUUUACUUUGAGAAAAUUAGAGUGCUCAAAGCAGGCCUUUGCCUUGAAUAGUUUAGCAUGGAAUAAUAAAGUAGGACUUUGGUUCUAUUUUGUUGGUUUUAGGUACCAAAGUAAUGGUUAAUAGGAACAGUUGGGGGCAUUCGUAUUUAACUGUCAGAGGUGAAAUUCUUAGAUUUGUUAAAGACGAACUACUGCGAAAGCAUUUGCCAAGGAUGUUUUCAUUAAUCAAGAAC